UACGAAGGGGGCUAGCGUUGUUCGGAAUUACUGGGCGUAAAGCGCGCGCAGGCGGACCAUUAAGUUGGGCGUGAAAUCUCCCGGCCUAACUGGGAGGGGUCGCCCAAGACUGGUGGUCUUGAGGACAGCAGAGGUGGGUGGAAUUCCUGGUGUAGUGGUGAAAUGCGUAGAGAUCCGGAAGAACACCGGUGGCGAAGGCGGUUAGCUGGGCAGUUGCUGACACUGAGGCGCGACAGCGUGGGGAGCAAACAGG
Molecule: ribosomal RNA, 253 nt
Filed under: uncultured bacterium
Lineage: Bacteria
Description: partial 16S ribosomal RNA
Rfam family: Bacterial small subunit ribosomal RNA
Source: RNAcentral